This 1373-nucleotide long non-coding RNA is filed under the name Chinchilla lanigera (long-tailed chinchilla). Its description in RNAcentral is "lncRNA (ENSCLAG00000023034.1)". The record is from RNAcentral. Lineage: Eukaryota; Metazoa; Chordata; Mammalia; Rodentia; Chinchillidae.
CGGGCGGGCGCGGGCAGGGCCGCCCCGGGGGGUGUCGGCGCGGAGCCCCGGUAGUCGAAAGUCGCGUUUUAAGGACUGGCCUGAUAGAUUACUUUCUACUUAAAGAUCCGGCGGGAGGCGGGGCCACGUGACCGCGCGUGACGUCAGGGCCGCCGCGAGCCGGCCAAACUCAAGUUGGUCCGGGAAUUGUCAACAAAGGGGCGAGGGACGCGCCACUCCGCGUCGCCUGCGGGCCCCACGCGCCCUGGCCCGGCACGAGUGGACUGGGCACGGCCAGGAGGGCCCGAGCGCGUCCGCAGGACCCUGCGCCGUCUGCGCCCCGCACCCGUUCCCUCCCGGACGUGGACGGGCCGAGGACAGCCAGGUGCCAUCUCGGGCUCGGGGGGACAAACUUACCAGCCUCUUUUGUUUAUCGUUCCAGCUGCAGAGGACACGGGCGGCGCGAGGGGUCCCCUCGCUACGCCGAGUCCGGCUCUCCCGGGUAACCUGCGACGUGCGCCCUCCCGCCAGCCCCGCGUCCCCACCGGGCCCCGCUGCGUCCCCGCACGGUUUUCUAGAUAUCUGUGUUUUUUGCGCGCGGUCAUCGCAGCAUCACCUGGGAUUCCCGAAGAGCGCAGGGGACCCCAGGACCCAGCUCGGAGACCAGGACGCGCGUCCGGACCCCCUUGGCCAGCAUCAACGACGCCUCUUCCCACCGAGCACCCUUUCCCGGGCACACCAAAUCAGCAAGAAUUCCAGCUGCCUCCCGUGGGCCCGCCGGCUGCAAACCCAUCUAGACUUCCUCGGGCGAAACCCACUGGAGCUUCGAGCCGGCCGCCCAUCGCUCCCGCUGCAGAGGUUUUGGUUGCCACUGGCCAAACACCAAGUCCAAGCAAGGUCGGAGGAAAAAGAAAAACAGCUGAAAUUCGCAAAUUUCAAAACUCUUUUUGUCUAGUUUGGGGUGCCCACCCCGGGGUAGGUGCGGGCCCGCUUGGCCCUGGGCUGCGUCUCCGUGGAUGCUUUCACGUGUGCGCGCGAGGGUGGCGGCUCGGGCAGCCACGCCGCUCACUUUGAAGCCGUCCCCAGACGCACCUCGCCUGGGUCCCCGGAGAGGGGGUGGCGAACACCGCCCAGCUGCCGGUUCCAUUUGUUGCGCUUUUCUCCUUUGACACAAUAAAAGUCAAAUUAAUUGAUUCAUACCAUUAAUUACGGUUCGUAGCGUGAAAAGCAACGCUUCCCCUCGGUGAGAGAUCUAUUGUGCUCGUCUCAUGUUCAAUCAGUGCUGCCAUCUGAUGCCGGGUCGGCCCUGGCAGGAACUUUUCGCCUCGAUUAGCUGAAUGAUGAGUCGCGCAGGGCCCGCUGGCUGCGGCCCCGACGCCCCGCGUCGAUUUCCC